AGGACGAACGCUGGCGGCGUGCUUAACACAUGCAAGUCGAGCGGUAAGGCCUCUUCGGGGGUACACGAGCGGCGAACGGGUGAGUAACACGUGGGUGACCUGCCCUCAGCUCUGGGAUAAGCCUGGGAAAACCGGGUCUAAUACCGGAUGGGACUGCUUGCCGCAUGGUGGGUGGUGGAAAGUUUUUUCGGCUGGGGAUGGCCCGCGGCCUAUCAGCUUGUUGGUGGGUGAUGGCCUACCAAGGCGGUGACGGGUA
RNAcentral lists this ribosomal RNA (256 nucleotides) under uncultured bacterium. RNAcentral's name for it is "partial small subunit ribosomal RNA". It matches the Rfam family "Bacterial small subunit ribosomal RNA", at positions 26 to 285 of the family's 1533-position model. The record is from RNAcentral.